Non-coding RNA from Lactuca sativa (garden lettuce), 3599 nucleotides. Lineage: Eukaryota; Viridiplantae; Streptophyta; Magnoliopsida; Asterales; Asteraceae. The record is from RefSeq and is a predicted model, not a curated record.
UUCUUUCUUUUUCAAUUGGUGGGUUUCUUCCCGAUACUUACGUCCAAAUUCUUCUCUAUGCUUCCCACCACUUUUGGAUUCACCGUCUCUGCUUCUUCUUUUUUGCUUGGUCCACCACCUCCAUUAUCAGCUUCUAAUCCUCACACUCUUAACACUUACGAUUUUCAGUCCUCAUCACAGAAACUCUCUGUUUCUCCCUCUUCCAAUCCUUUUCAAAAAGACGCUUCACCGGCCAUCACCCUAUUUUUUUCAUAUGUUAUCUCCUCACAAAACACAACCCUAUUACCUCCACUGUUAGCCAAUCAAAUAUUCACAGAUAUUGAUAUAUUUUAGCGGUCUUCCAACCGUCCAACAUAUGAAUUAUACACAUCUUCUCUUUAGCCGCUGUGAAACGCGUCUCCUUCCGGCGGAUCUGUCUUCUCGUCCUUCUCCAACUGUGUACGUCUUCUCUCCAUGUGCCUCUUCACUAAUAUGGGAUAUCUCCUUUUGUGUCUUCUAUUUACACUAAUUGCUUACUUCACAACCCUCAAAUAAAUGUGGGGUCGUCGAUUUUCCCUCGUCGGUGUCAAGGUUGGUCUUCGCUUGUGCUUCUACUUUCCAAAACCUGGAAUUCCCAUUGAACUCUGCACCACCUCCAAUUUCAUCGAUGUUUUUCACGAAAUGACCAUUCCUUAAUGGAAGACUAUUAUACAUUCAUAGCUUCAGACGCCUCUUCUCAGGUUCUAUUUAUUUGUUCUAUGUUCCUUAGUUCCAUCUUUUUGGAUUAAUUUACACUUUUUUUUUUGAAGAUAUUCGAGGUAAUCGACACAGGUAGGGUUUUUUUAGUUGGUUACUCUCUGUAAGUUCGAUUUGUUAUUGUUUGUACUACAUGUGGAUAAACUUUAUCACCUAAGGAAUUCUAACUGGUUUUAGGUUGUAAAACAGAAACCGCUACAUACAUCAUGCUCCUUCAAAGUUAAUGAAAUUGAAAAGGAAAAAACUCCUAAUACUCUAUAAAUACGUGACUGAUGUAGUUAACAACGCAUAAAGGGUAUCAUCUUCUAUUGUUUUGGUAAAACCACACAUAAAUAUCCUUUCGUGUUAGCGGGUUUUCUAUUAUCUGGAUAUUUAGGGGUACACACCACUUGAUAGAAUCCUGAUGAUUUGUUCACAGAAUUGUCAAAAAUUAAAGAGGCAAGAUUUAUCUUUUUUGGUGUAUCUGAUUUAAGCAAAAUCAUUAUAUAAAUUAAAUUAUUUACAUAUGAAAUUGGUUUUGUUGCAAGAAUGGUUUUUAGGAAAAACAAUGACGCAAAAUUUGAAAUUGCCAACCAUUUACAUUCAAACUAGCAAAGUUUAAUAUUAACCAUCCACACACUUCAGGAAUCUGUAGGAAUCAUCAAACCUCUGGCAGUAUGAUAAUAUUUUUCAUUCUUUUUUUAUCAAUAUACCCUGCAACAGGUAAGAGUUCUUCUUUUUUACACUCAACAAUAAUUCUUUUUCCCCAGUUAAGUCUAGUAUGAGUAAAGUGACUUUAUAGGCGGUAAAGAAAUAAAAAGUUUCCAAAGGUUUUUUGUUGUUUUCUAGACUAAAUAAAGUGUUAUAGAUAGACAAAAUGACCAUUUUACACUUGUAUUCAAAAAACCAAAUUCCAUAACAUUCAUCAAUUUUAACAUCAGGAAUUGGCAUGGAAAGUAUGUUACUGUUUCGUACAUUUAGCCCUUAAAAUUCAAUUGUUUCUACACCAAUAACCGUAGAUAUUGCUAUAAUCUACAAGAAUAGGCUAUUUUAUACCUUCUAAGUACAAUUUGUAGCAUCUGGUCUGCAAUUUUGAACAUAAAAAAAUCAAGAGGACAUUCGUGGUUGCCCUUAAUCAUAUGGAAUUGCAAACGAAAAAGUUUAAAAAAAAAACUUUUAUAGCUACUCAUUUUUUUCAACCCAUAGGUGCAAAAUUGGGCCAAAUCGCAACCCAAGUAUAUGAAAUCAGGAGAGUAGUAAUAAAUAGCAGAGGUCUAAGAUUUUAUAGAAGCAACUCAGACGAAGCUACAAGAAGGAUUCAUAAUGGACGACGAACUUGAAAAGACGGUUAGCGAGUAGCCUUCGUAUGUCAUAAAGAGUCGGAAAGAUGCGGAGAAAAUGGUAAUUUAAUAUGUUAUUAUUCAACUUGAUAUGAUAGGGACAAUAUGGUAAUUUACUAUUUCUGUUUGAUGCAUUUUCUAUAUAUAGGUGGCAAAACCACUAAAUAGCAAUGUACCUUGCAUUUUUGUUAUGACUCUUUUAUCAAAAACCAAGGUACAUUGCCAUUUAGUGCAUUUUCCAUAUUCAUAUGGUAAAUGAAGUAAAUAGCAAUGUACUUUGCAUCUACACAUUUUUUCCUGUUUUUUUUUUUAAUUUCUUUUGAUUUUUUCCAAAAACCUAACUACAUUGCCAUUAGGUGCAUUUUCCAUUUUUGGAGUAAAAAGUCCCAAAUAGCAAUGUAGUUUGCAUUAACCAAAAUACAUUGUUAUUAGGUUCAUUUUCCAUUUUUUUGUUAUUAAUACAGUAAAUAUCAUUGAUAAUUGAAGAGUAAAACUGUUUGUAUGGACGUAAACAGAACAUGGAAGUCAUAUGUUUUUUUUCCAAUUUAUUUCAAUUUAUCGACAAAACUAACUCUUAAGGCCCCAUUAUAAACAUUUGUUUAUUUUAUUUAUUAUAUCUCAAUGUUAUCUAAAUGGCUAAUUGAUGGAUUUUGAGCAAAAGAACAUCUUAUGUGCACAUGCAAAACCCUAAAGCUUUGGAUCUAGGUUUCUCUAUUGUCCAUGUAAAUUUAUCCAAAGCUUAUAAACCCUAAUCUAUCAUAUAUUAAAACGAGAUCUAUAAUAAAAAAAUUUAGAUGAUACCUUUCAAUAGUUGCAAGAAUCUUCAAUCUUCAAGAAGCUUAGUGACACAAGUGUAACACCUCUAAUGACUUACAAACACCAAAGCAAGAAGAUGAUUUAGAAGAGAGAAGGAGAGGGGCAUAAUUUCGGCUAUAGUAACUCUAUGGUUUCUUGGUCUGGCCAAAACUGAAGCCCUGGGGUCCCUUAAAUAGCUAAGCUGCUAGGGCUUCACUCAAAACCCUAAUUGGAUGACUUAGGCCCUAAGCAGCUUAAGAAUCUUCUGGAAUAAGGCCCCCUUGGACGAAAUUAGAGUGGGCUUCCACUCCAAAUUUCGUCCCCCUUAUGCCCAUGAGGAUUCACAACCCAAAUUCAAUUAUCUUACAAUUGACAGUUCUAGUCCCUUUUAUUUAAUUAAUCUAUUUUAGCCAUAGAAUUAAUUCUCAACUAAUUUUUGACAAAUAUUAAUUAAACUAUAUGAUUUCUAUUUUAAUAUAGUAUUCAUAUAAUAUAUUAAUAAACCAUAAUAACCUCUCUCUCUCUCUCUCUCGAUAAAUCAUCAUGUUCAGUUGCUUUGGUGAAGGCAACCCAAAAGGUCAUGCACAACCGGGUCAAGUACAUACCAAAUAUAGUUACGGGCUUAGACACUAAUCCAACACAAAUGACAUUCAUUUGGAAGAUUGUAUAACUACAGAGUUAUCAAUGUUGACCUAUUUAACUAGUAUUUCAUGCUUCUUAAUAGCAAUCAACUAAGAAGGAAUUCCAGAA